This 73-nucleotide transfer RNA is filed under the name Candidatus Pacearchaeota archaeon. RNAcentral's name for it is "tRNA-Glu". It matches the Rfam family "tRNA". From Rfam's summary of the family: Transfer RNA (tRNA) molecules are approximately 80 nucleotides in length. Their secondary structure includes four short double-helical elements and three loops (D, anti-codon, and T loops). The record is from RNAcentral. Lineage: Archaea; Nanobdellati.
GCCCCUGUAGUAUAGCGGUCAAGUAUCCGGCCCUCUCACGGCCGUGACCCGAGUUCGAAUCUCGGCGGGGGCG